Molecule: ribosomal RNA, 471 nt
Filed under: Salmonella enterica
Lineage: Bacteria; Pseudomonadati; Pseudomonadota; Gammaproteobacteria; Enterobacterales; Enterobacteriaceae
Description: bacterial SSU rRNA
Rfam family: Bacterial small subunit ribosomal RNA
Source: RNAcentral
AAAUUGAAGAGUUUGAUCAUGGCUCAGAUUGAACGCUGGCGGCAGGCCUAACACAUGCAAGUCGAACGGUAACAGGAAGCAGCUUGCUGCUUUGCUGACGAGUGGCGGACGGGUGAGUAAUGUCUGGGAAACUGCCUGAUGGAGGGGGAUAACUACUGGAAACGGUGGCUAAUACCGCAUAACGUCGCAAGACCAAAGAGGGGGACCUUCGGGCCUCUUGCCAUCAGAUGUGCCCAGAUGGGAUUAGCUUGUUGGUGAGGUAACGGCUCACCAAGGCGACGAUCCCUAGCUGGUCUGAGAGGAUGAUCAGCCACACUGGAACUGAGACACGGUCCAGACUCCUACGGGAGGCAGCAGUGGGGAAUAUUGCACAAUGGGCGCAAGCCUGAUGCAGCCAUGCCGCGUGUAUGAAGAAGGCCUUCGGGUUGUAAAGUACUUUCAGCGGGGAGGAAGGUGUUGUGGUUAAUAACC